This 481-nucleotide ribosomal RNA is filed under the name uncultured bacterium. Its description in RNAcentral is "bacterial SSU rRNA". It matches the Rfam family "Bacterial small subunit ribosomal RNA", at positions 30 to 507 of the family's 1533-position model. The record is from RNAcentral.
UGAACGCUGGCGGCAUGCCUAACACAUGCAAGUCGAGGGGCAGCACGGGUAGCAAUACCUGGUGGCGACCGGCGCAAGGGUGCGUAACGCGUGAGCAACAUGCCCUAUACAGGGGGAUAAUCCAGGGAAACUUGGUCUAAUAUCCCAUAGCAUUUAGAGGAGGCAUCUUCACUAAAUUAAAGCUUCGGUGGUAUAGGAUUGGCUCGCGUGACAUUAGCUAGAUGGUGAGGUAACGGCCCACCAUGGCUAUGAUGUCUAGGGGUUCUGAGAGGAAGACCCCCACACUGGGACUGAGACACGGCCCAGACUCCUACGGGAGGCAGCAGUGAGGAAUAUUGGACAAUGGAUGGAAAUCUGAUCCAGCCAUGCCGCGUGCAGGAAGACGGCCCUAUGGGUUGUAAACUGCUUUUAUAUGGGAGCAAUAAGGUUUACGAGUAGACCGAUGAGAGUACCAUAUGAAUAAGCAUCGGCUAACUCCGUG